AGACACCCCAUCCACAAAACGCUGAAACCUCGACAAUGCCCCCCGCCGAGUUCACCGCCGUGGAGACACACCACUGGCAACGGGUGGACUAGGGCUGAGCGAGCGGGACCGCGCAGAGUGGCACCAGGAGUAGCGGAGGGGUCAUGCCCAGACCAAAGGACAGCGGUUCCAGGAGGGGGAGGAGCAGGAGCAGGAGGAGGAGGUCCCGGCCCAAGUCCCGUUCCAGGAGCCGUUCCGGGAGCCGCCCCAGCAGCCGAAGCGGCAGCAGCAGCAGCAGAGCGAGCAGGUCGUCCAGCCGCGGCGCCGGCAGUGGCGCAGGCAGUGGCGCCUCGUCCCCCGCCGCCAGCCGCCCCGCCACCUCCUCGCCGCGACCCUCCACCUCCUCGCCGCGACCCUCCACCUCCUCCUCCCCCGCCCAUCGGUCCCCCUCCCCCCGCAGCAGCACCCCCGAGGCGGCCGGCAGCCCCGCCAGGGACGCCACCACCGAGCGGGCGUGAGCAUGGCAACCGCGAAAUGUUGA
Frankliniella occidentalis (western flower thrips) is the source of this 520-nucleotide long non-coding RNA. RefSeq lists it as uncharacterized. The record is from RefSeq and is a predicted model, not a curated record. NCBI's taxonomy places the organism in Eukaryota, Metazoa, Arthropoda, Insecta, Thysanoptera, Thripidae. The transcript is spliced from 3 exons.